Molecule: non-coding RNA, 86 nt
Filed under: Clostridium neonatale
Lineage: Bacteria; Bacillati; Bacillota; Clostridia; Eubacteriales; Clostridiaceae
Description: Purine riboswitch
Rfam family: Purine riboswitch aptamer
About the family: Riboswitches are metabolite binding domains within certain messenger RNAs that serve as precision sensors for their corresponding targets.
Source: RNAcentral
CAUACAGAACUCGUAUAUUUUCGAUUUAUGGCUUGAAAAGUUUCUACCUGCUAGCCAAAAUAGCAGACUAUGAGGUAUUAUUCUAU